GACGAACGCUGGCGGCGUGCCUAACACAUGCAAGUAGAACGCUGAAGGUGGAGCUUGCUUUUCUGGACGAGUUUCGAACGGGUGAGUAACGCGUAGGUAAUCUGGCUGGUAGCGGGUGAUAACUAUUGGAAACGAUAGUUAAUACCGCAUAAGAGUAGAUGUUGCAUGACAUUUGCUUAAAAGGUCCAAUUGCAUCACUAACAGAUGGACCUGCGUUGUAUUAGCUAGUUGGUGGGGUAACGGCUCACCAAGGCGACGAUACAUAGCCGGCCUGAGAGGGUGAUCGGCCGCACUCGGAGUGAGAGACGGCCCGGACUCAUGCGGGAUGCGGCACUAGGGAGUCUUCGGCAAUGGACGGAAGUGGGACCGAGCGAAGCCGGGUGGAUGACGGAAGUUAUCGGAUCAUAAAGCUCUGUUGUAAAAGAGGAACGAGUGUAGGAGUGGAAAGUUCACACAGUGACGGUAUCUUACCAGAAAGGGACGGCUAACUACGUG
This 495-nucleotide ribosomal RNA is filed under the name uncultured bacterium. Its description in RNAcentral is "partial 16S ribosomal RNA". It matches the Rfam family "Bacterial small subunit ribosomal RNA", at positions 28 to 507 of the family's 1533-position model. The record is from RNAcentral.